AUUGAACGCUGGCGGCAUGCUUUACACAUGCAAGUCGAACGGCAGCGCGGGCUUCGGCCUGGCGGCGAGUGGCGAACGGGUGAGUAAUGCAUCGGAACGUGCCCAGUAGUGGGGGAUAGCCCGGCGAAAGCCGGAUUAAUACCGCAUACGACCUGAGGGUGAAAGCGGGGGACCGAAAGGCCUCGCGCUAUUGGAGCGGCCGAUGUCGGAUUAGCUAGUUGGUGGGGUAAAGGCUUACCCAGGCGACGAUCUGUAGCUGGUCUGAGAGGACGACCAGCCACACUGGGACUGAGACACGGCCCAGACUCCUAAGGGAGGCAGCAGUGGGGAAUUUUGGACAAUGGGGGCAACCCUGAUCCAGCCAUGCCGCGUGCGGGAAGAAGGCCUUCGGGUUGUAAACCGCUUUUGUUCGGGAAGAAAUCCUCUGGGCUAAUACCCCGGGGGGAUGACGGUACCGGAAGAAUAAGCACCGGCUAACUACGUG
Molecule: ribosomal RNA, 484 nt
Filed under: uncultured bacterium
Lineage: Bacteria
Description: partial 16S ribosomal RNA
Rfam family: Bacterial small subunit ribosomal RNA
Source: RNAcentral